GUAUAAAAGCGCUUGUCCUCCUCCACGUAGAUCUUUCCAGUCGCAUGUUGAAGUUKGAGAAGGAUCAUGGCUAGCGACUCUCUUGAUUACAACAGUUCAAGAGAUCGUGAACAUGAUGGGCCUGUGGGGAUGGAGGCUGAUGCCGUCAUAGAGGCUGUGAUGUCAUCACCCAGGCAUGGUCAAGACUGCCGCGUUGGCCAUCUCUAUCCUGCAGCAGCUGGACAUAAAGCAGAAAAGGACCCCAGCAGGGAGCUAGCUCAGCAGGUAUGCUGUACCUCAGAC
Salvelinus sp. IW2-2015 is the source of this 282-nucleotide non-coding RNA. The record is from RefSeq and is a predicted model, not a curated record. NCBI's taxonomy places the organism in Eukaryota, Metazoa, Chordata, Actinopteri, Salmoniformes, Salmonidae.